AGGGCGUUAAUCUAAACAAGACCUCUGAUUUCGGCUCAGAAAAUUAUGGUUCAAGUCCAUAACACCCUU
RNAcentral lists this transfer RNA (69 nucleotides) under Salminus brasiliensis (dorado). Its description in RNAcentral is "tRNA-Arg". It matches the Rfam family "tRNA". From Rfam's summary of the family: Transfer RNA (tRNA) molecules are approximately 80 nucleotides in length. Their secondary structure includes four short double-helical elements and three loops (D, anti-codon, and T loops). Lineage: Eukaryota; Metazoa; Chordata; Actinopteri; Characiformes; Bryconidae. The record is from RNAcentral.